This is a long non-coding RNA of Podarcis raffonei (Aeolian wall lizard), 657 nucleotides long. RefSeq lists it as uncharacterized. NCBI's taxonomy places the organism in Eukaryota, Metazoa, Chordata, Lepidosauria, Squamata, Lacertidae. The record is from RefSeq and is a predicted model, not a curated record. The transcript has 4 exons.
UCAGGGCCCAGAAGCGACCGAGAAGUCAUCCUGCUCGUCCUUCGGUCGCCGGUGUCGUCGUGGUUGCCGCCGCCGCCACUCUCUCCUCCUUCACGACCCCCCUCAGAUAAACUGGUAAUUCAAGAACAAUGGUGCAUCUGAUGAAGAGGACCCCUGUCUGCCAACCUUCAUCAACUUGAUGUCCUUCAGGAAUCUCCACAGCCACAGUGUCCUAUGCCAAGCAAUGCACGGCCAAAACAGUACAGGAAGACUUGACGGCAGGUUCAGGAUGUCCAUACUAUGGGGAGGUUUUAAAUCUUACCAUUAACUAAAAUUAGCUGUGCGGGAUGUUUGGGGUACAUGACUAAGGCACCAACAGUACAAAGCAAAUACAAAAGCAGAAAUAUUUCCUUGGGAGUGCUCUACGUUGAAACACCACAAGAAAAGGCAACAAUAGAAAGUAAACCUGCUGCAGCCUUUACAAGUUUCUUCUGGGGUCACAAGGUUAGUCCUAUGGUUGAAUUUCUUCCAAUAUAUCACUUCAGUUCUGAUCACAGCACAUGCUACAACACUGAUGGCUAGGAUGAACUUCACCAAGGUGCACUUUUCAUUAGCGUUUUGUAUUUCAGACAAAUCAUUCAAGCCAAAGCAUAAAUGCAUUUUAGACUCAUGUGAAAA